Molecule: non-coding RNA, 739 nt
Organism: Chiloscyllium plagiosum (whitespotted bambooshark)
Lineage: Eukaryota; Metazoa; Chordata; Chondrichthyes; Orectolobiformes; Hemiscylliidae
Source: RefSeq, a predicted model, not a curated record
UUGGUAUUUCUGGGGGAAUUUCUGGGGGUAACUCAUCCCAAGGAGGAAGAAGCAUACUAAGUGUAGGAUGAGGCAACCAUUCCUGGGAAGGAAGUCAGUGACAGCACAAAAGCAAACAAAAAAAAACAUACAAUUGGGUGAAGAUUAAUGAGAAGCCAGAGGAUUGGAAAACAUUUAAAAUACAGCAGAGGACAUGUAAUAAAAACAAUAAGGGGGAGAAGAUGAAAUUUGAGAGCAAGCUAGUUAGUAUAAUAUAAAAGAAGAUUCCAAGACCCUUUUUUUGCAUAUCUAAAAGAUAAGAGAGAGGCAAGAGAAAACAUUGGGCUGAUGGAGAAUAAGGCUGGAGAUGGAAUAAUUGGGAUCAAAAUAAUGGUGGAGGAACUGAAUAGGUGUUUUGCAUCAGUUUUCACUGUGGAAGAUACCAGUAGCAUACCAGAACUUCAAGAGAGUCGGGGGCAGAGGUGAGAGUAGUGUUCAUCACUAAGGAGGUGCUGGGGAUGCUGAAAGGUCUGGAUGUGAAUACAUCACUCAGAACAAAUGGAUCAUAUAUCCCAGAGUUCUGAAGGAGAUAGCUGAGGAGAUUCGAGAGGCAUUGGUACUGAUCCUUCAGAAAACCCUGUAGUUAGGGAGGGUCCCAGAGGAUGAGAAAAUAUCUAAUGUGAAACCACUGUUUAAGAAUGUAGGGAGACAGAAGACAGGAAACUAUAGGCCAGUUAGCCUGACCUUGGUGGUUGGUAAG